CCCGCCCGCAGCGCGGAGCCUCGGGGGGCGCCGCAGGGGGGACGGGGCGAGGGGAGGGAGCCCUCUACCCCCGAAUGGGCGACGCAGGAGUCCAUCCUCCCAAGAACUUUCAGCGCCACCCCGCGUGUGCACGGACGCACCCAGGUGGUAGACGCCGACCUCCGGACGGAUGCCCUGUGACAUCCCCCGGCGGGGCUGGUCUGCCUCCCGCUCCGCACCUUCGAUCCGCCGCGGAGCCCUGCCUUCCAGAAUGGUCUCUCCUCUCGGGGACUAACGGUUGCGUGUCAAGCCCCUCCGGCCACAGACUGUUACUCCUGAGCUUCCUGUUAGCAUGUAUAGGAUCGUCUCCUUUUUCAUCGAAACGCACGCUCGUCACCCUACUGCUAGCCUUAACCUACAAUGAUUCCAUUUCAGCUGCCCUUGCCUGUGGGGAAAGCUUCCUGAACGUUGUUAUCUCAUUGCAAGCGAGGAGUCCGCUCCUUUAUGCAAAACGUUUAAAAGCCCUCUGGAUGAAGACAGCAAGUGUCCUGCCAAAUACAUUCUUCUAA
RNAcentral lists this long non-coding RNA (548 nucleotides) under Canis lupus dingo (dingo). RNAcentral's name for it is "lncRNA (ENSCAFG00020000677.1)". Lineage: Eukaryota; Metazoa; Chordata; Mammalia; Carnivora; Canidae. The record is from RNAcentral.